GUGCUCACUUCAGCAGCACAUACAUUAAAAUUAGAAUGAUACAGAGAAGAUUCGCAUGGCUCCUGCACAAGGAUGACAUGUUUAAAAAAAUUUCUUCUUUAA
Small nuclear RNA from Symphalangus syndactylus (siamang), 102 nucleotides. The record is from RefSeq and is a predicted model, not a curated record. Lineage: Eukaryota; Metazoa; Chordata; Mammalia; Primates; Hylobatidae.